GAUGAAGAACGUAGCGAAAUGCGAUAAGUAAUGUGAAUUGCAGAAUUCAGUGAAUCAUCGAAUCUUUGAACGCAUCUUGCGCUCCUUGGUAUUCUGAGGAGCAUGCCUGUUUGAGUGUCAUUAAAUUCUCAACUACACUGACUUUGAAUUGGUGUGGCUUGGAUUUGGGGGGAAAAUUGUUGUGGGCUUUUUGUAUAGUCUGCUCCCCUGAAAUUGAUUAGCGGUACCUUUGUGGAACUGUCUACAGGUGUGAUAAUUAUCUACAUCUUAGACAUCUGCUGGAAUGCCGCUUUCUAAACCUUACUUGUAUUGACAAUCUUGACCUCAAAUCAGGUAGGACUACCCGCUGAACUUAAGCAUAUCAAUAAGCGGAGGA
This 376-nucleotide unclassified non-coding RNA is filed under the name soil metagenome. RNAcentral's name for it is "partial contains 5.8S ribosomal RNA, internal transcribed spacer 2, and large subunit ribosomal RNA". The stretch from base 1 to 120 matches the Rfam family "5.8S ribosomal RNA", at positions 35 to 154 of the family's 154-position model. The record is from RNAcentral.